GUUGCACAGCAUUAACUGUUCUCGAGUAUUUCAGCCACUUCAAUAAAUAUAUACUGUUCUAGAGCCACAAAAACAUUUAGUUUCACCCAUUUAAUUUUGAUUGUGUUUGCAGGCAGCAAUGACUAUGUGAACAAUUUUCUGCAGCCAUUUUUAGCAGACGGGCAACAGUACACACAUGAUGAAUUUCUGGAACUCUUAAUAUCCACAUUAGAUCAACAACUUAUAGUGAGAAAUCCUCCCUCAACUCAAAUGGUUUUAAUCAUUUUGUUUUACCAGAAAGCAGUGUAUCCUGAAAUUUAUUGACUUGCAGAGGCUAUACCAACUGGGUGCAAGAAAAGCAGUCUUCCAUGGGCUUGGCCCUCUGGGCUGCAUUCCUUCCCAAAGAGUGAAAUCCAAGAAAGGUAUAUGCUUGAAGCGAGUGAAUGAAUGGGCAUUGGAAUUCAACUCCAGAGCGCAGAAGCUAUUAAAUACUCUGAACCAACGACUCCCCAGUGCCAAAUUCUUGUUUGCAGAUACAUAUGGAGAUGUUCUGGAUUUAAUCAACAAUCCUACAGCUUAUGGUAAUUUUUUGCCUUCAUAAGUUUAGUUAUUCACUUUUCGAGUAUAAGAUUACAUACAGCUACACGUUUCAUUUUCAGGUUUCAAGGUCUCCAACACUUCAUGUUGCAAUGUGGAUACGACCGUAGGAGGCUUAUGCUUGCCCAACUCCAAAUUAUGCAAAAAUCGCAAGGAAUAUGUUUUCUGGGACGCAUUUCAUCCUUCUGAUGCAGCAAAUCAAGUUCUAGCUGAAAAAUUCUUUUCCUUACUAUUUUCCAAUAACCCUUCUCCUUCUCCUGCACCAAAGCCUUCUCCUUCCCAUUGAAAGGAGCAGGACAUUUGAGAGCUA
RNAcentral lists this unclassified non-coding RNA (886 nucleotides) under Hevea brasiliensis (rubber tree). Lineage: Eukaryota; Viridiplantae; Streptophyta; Magnoliopsida; Malpighiales; Euphorbiaceae. The record is from RNAcentral.